This 467-nucleotide ribosomal RNA is filed under the name Eubacterium sp. oral clone 12-17. RNAcentral describes it as "bacterial SSU rRNA". It matches the Rfam family "Bacterial small subunit ribosomal RNA", at positions 8 to 455 of the family's 1533-position model. Lineage: Bacteria; Bacillati; Bacillota; Clostridia; Eubacteriales; Eubacteriaceae. The record is from RNAcentral.
AGAGUUUGAUCAUGGCUCAGGAUGAACGCUGGCGGCGUGCCUAACACAUGCAAGUCGAACGGAGAUUAUUCGCUGCGGAGCCUUCGGGCGAAGCUUGAAUGAUCUUAGUGGCGGACGGGUGAGUAACGCGUGGGCAACCUGCCUUGCACAGGGGGAUAGCAGUUGGAAACGACUGGUAAUACCGCAUAUCUUAGAGAGACCGCAUGAUCUUUUUAAGAAAACGUUAGUGGUGCAAGAUGGGCCCGCGUCCGAUUAGCUGGUUGGUGAGGUAGAGGCUCACCAAGGCGACGAUCGGUAGCCGGCCUGAGAGGGUGAACGGCCACAUUGGGACUGAGACACGGCCCAAACUCCUACGGGAGGCAGCAGUGGGGAAUAUUGGACAAUGGGGGAAACCCUGAUCCAGCGACGCCGCGUGAGUGAAGAAGUAUUUCGGUAUGUAAAGCUCUAUCAGCAGGGAAGAAAAUGAC